Molecule: ribosomal RNA, 377 nt
Filed under: uncultured bacterium
Lineage: Bacteria
Description: bacterial SSU rRNA
Rfam family: Bacterial small subunit ribosomal RNA
Source: RNAcentral
UAAGACAGAGGGGGCAAGCGUUGCUCGGAAUUACUGGGCGUAAAGGGCGCGUAGGCGGGACGGAAAGUCGGUCGUGAAAUCCUCCGGCUCAACCGGAGAACGGCGAUCGAUACUUCCGUUCUUGAGGGUUGCAGAGGAGACUGGAAUUCCCGGUGUAGCGGUGAAAUGUGUAGAGAUCGGGAGGAACACCGGUGGCGAAGGCGGGUCUCUGGGCAACUCCUGACGCUGAGGCGCGAAAGCGUGGGGAGCAAACGGGAUUAGAUACCCCGGUAGUCCACGCUGUAAACGAUGAGCACUAGGUGUGGGAGGGUUCAGUCCCUUCCGUGCCGCAGCUAACGCAUUAAGUGCUCCGCCUGGGGAGUACGGCCGCAAGGUUG